This 302-nucleotide ribosomal RNA is filed under the name Acinetobacter sp. L21. Its description in RNAcentral is "bacterial SSU rRNA". It matches the Rfam family "Bacterial small subunit ribosomal RNA", at positions 1091 to 1392 of the family's 1533-position model. The record is from RNAcentral. Lineage: Bacteria; Pseudomonadati; Pseudomonadota; Gammaproteobacteria; Moraxellales; Moraxellaceae.
AACGAGCGCAACCCUUUUCCUUAUUUGCCAGCGAGUAAUGUCGGGAACUUUAAGGAUACUGCCAGUGACAAACUGGAGGAAGGCGGGGACGACGUCAAGUCAUCAUGGCCCUUACGGCCAGGGCUACACACGUGCUACAAUGGUCGGUACAAAGGGUUGCUACCUAGCGAUAGGAUGCUAAUCUCAAAAAGCCGAUCGUAGUCCGGAUUGGAGUCUGCAACUCGACUCCAUGAAGUCGGAAUCGCUAGUAAUCGCGGAUCAGAAUGCCGCGGUGAAUACGUUCCCGGGUCUUGUACACACCG